This 3964-nucleotide long non-coding RNA is filed under the name Salmo salar (Atlantic salmon). RNAcentral describes it as "lncRNA (ENSSSAG00000099099.1)". The record is from RNAcentral. Lineage: Eukaryota; Metazoa; Chordata; Actinopteri; Salmoniformes; Salmonidae.
CCGUGCUCGAUUGUUCUUCCUGGUUACAUCAUUUGUUGUGGCAGUCUCCUUGGUCGCAGGUCUAAAUGCAUUUCUAAUAUCCCGCAAUGAACUUUGAUCUGCCGCAGAGCCCGGCGACAGUCACAGAGAUAUCUCCUAUCUCCCUCCACGGGUUCGCUCUCGUCCCGGUGACCAGCUUGGGGGCGGGGGGUGAACCGGGGAGCCUCGACAUUGCACCUGGCUCCGGAGUGAUACAGGUGUUGUGCCGAAAAUCUCCCCCCCUGACAGAAUUCGCCCCCCCCCCCCUUUCUAAUUUCCUUAAUUUUGUGACUAGAGUCAAAUACCUUCUGUUGCACACAUCAGAGUCAAACACUUUAUAUAGAACAAACCGAAAUUAAUUAUUAAUGUAUCUGUGUUAUUAAACAUAGAGGGAGUAAAAUGUUGGCAAGCAAAAAACAUUUCAGAACAACUAUGGCUGAAUUAUUAUCCUUACACUUUCAAAAAUACUAGUCGAAUAAGACAUGGGAGAGAUGAUGAAUUUUGGCAAAGAGAUUAAUUUAUAGACUAAUACAAAUCAGUAGCGGAUUUAGGUACGGGCGACAUGGACAACCGUCCAUAGCCAAACCGAAAACUGCAGACAAAAAUGGUUUCUGCUACUAAGAUCAGUGAAAUGUAGGCUAAACUGACAACGGAGUGAAAAGCAGAAAUCUCAACUAGCAAGCAAGUCGCAGCAAUGAAGAACGAGAAGGGCAGGGGGGAGAUUGUCGGCACAACACCGGCCGAGGAUGGGACAACACCACCUGUCGCCUUCAUUGCUGGGAAUUGUAUGCGUCCCCACAGAAUCUGACCCUCAUGGUACCAGUGUGUCCUACCUGGGUCAGUUGACCUCAGAGGCAAGACCUGAACUGCAGUCAGAUGCCCCUCCACAGCCCCUCCUGCUCCAAGACAACAUGUCAUCCCUCCAUACCAGUAUGGAGCUCCUCAAGGGGGAACCCCACAGCCCUGCCACCCAGCCCCUGUCUCCCCUCCCUCCCCUGGGCCUGAUGGUGUCCCUGGACCCCUGUCUGCUGCUGGAGGAGGACCAGGAACCACUGGAGUUUCAUACUCAGAUUGAACCAAAGAAACGGAAAAGGUGGCUGGCCGAAGAAGAGGAAACCUCAGAGAGAGUUAACAACACCCAUAGCUCCAACAACAGGGAAUGUUAUUUUUGUGAAUGAGAAGAGAAGCUGCAGCUGAGAGAGGAGCACCUGGACCUCCCUUUCACUGAGAUCAGCCACAUGCUGGGGCUGCAGUGGUCCCAACUGGGCCCCAACGACAAGCAGAAGUACAACCAAGAGGCAGAGAAGGACAAGCAGCACUACAUCACAGGGCUGACAGACUACCAGAACACUGAGGCAUACAAAGACUUCCUCCGGAGGAAAGCCCUGAGCAGAGGACCAAAGCUCUAUGUUGACCCCAGGGAGUUGACAUUGAGAUGGAGGAGGAGACCAUGGCUUUGAAUCCCAUAGAUAGGAGUUUGAGAAGGACACAGGCAGCCAACAGCAGGCUCCAGAGAUGGAGAGAGGCCCUGUGGAGGAGGAAGAGGAGGAGGAUGAUGAAGAGGAGGCAGAGUUGGCUCGUACGUUGGGUCUGUCCUCGCUGGACUUCAGUGUGCUGCAGGAGCUGCUGCUCAGACAUAUGAAGCGAGCGCAAAAAGUGUGGAGUCUGAGAUGCAGGUUCUCAGGGCCUCCAGGGAGAGCCUGGACUGUCAGCUCCACACCCUCACCAUGCAACCACUGCUGUUCCACACAGACAGAGGUGGCAGAGAAAAAGAGAGGGAAUGAGAGGGAAGUGAGAGAUAGAGGGAAAUAAAAAGAGAGAGACAGAAAGAGUGGGAGAGAGAGCGAGAGAGGAAAGAGGGCAGCAGUUCUAUAAAUGAAACCUGAUUAGUAGAUUACUGCAUCCAGUUGGAGGGGAUGUGGGUGUUUACUGCUCGGGCACUUUCCAUUCACACUCUGUGACACAAACACACACACACUUUCUGUCUAGUACCUUUGCUCUUGUGUUUCUGAAUGCACACAAAAACCCACCCACACACUCACACACACACGUUUGGUAUUACUGUGCUUUGUGGGGACCUACACAUUGUUUCCAUUCAAAAUAAGAUUUUCCUUAACCCUUAACCCUUAAACCUAACAUUAACCCUAACCCUAACUCAUAACCCUAAACCUAACCCUAAAAUAGCCUUUGUCCUCUUGGGGACUUGGGAAAUGUCCCCAGGUGGGAGAAUGUUCCUUGUUUUACUAUCCUUGUGGGGAUUUCCAGUACCCACAAGGAUAGUAAUAUAAGUCCACACACACACACACACACACACACACACACACACACACACACACACACACACACACACACACACACACACACACACACACGGAUUGGGUAAUAAACUCAAGCCGGAGGUUUGGAAUAAUUUGCUUGUUAUGAGGCCAAUCCCUUUCAUUGUGCUAAUCUCCAUCAGGGUGUUAGGUCUUCACCCAGCCAGGCCAGGGAGGGUUACAGAUGGAGAACAGCAGGGCUGGAGCUAGCAUCAGUUACUUAGUGGUUCAUGGUAGAGAUCACAGUGGUGUUUUGUUCCAGACAAUAGACUCUCUGACCCUCCUAUCAGCCCUAACAUCCUUUCCUUGUCCCUGUCAGGUGGUGACUGGUUUAAAACAAUAGGACAGGGUCCAGCCUCAUGUUAGGUAUUCACUGUAUUGAUGUCACCUAUUAUACAGUUCAUUCAGAUCAGGGAUCAGGAAGGAAUGGCGAUUAAGAAAAAGAUAGAUGUAGACUAUGGUAACAGAAAUAUGAUCUGUAUUCAAUAGAAAGAGUUACAGUAUUUACAGAACUGACGCUGCCCUGUCUCUAGGUAACAGGCUUCUGCAGAAACAGGCUCUGCCCAUCGCUGCCCUGACGAAUUGAUGAGCAGAGCCGCACAGGAAGAAGGGAACCUCGGGUAACCAUAGCAACCAGCCAGGGGUCGUGUGAGAACGGCUCUGGGAGAAGAGGUGGAUGAUGAAGAUGAGGAUAAAGGAUGCAGCCCGGGAGAAAGAAUGGAGGCACUUCAAACAAGGACCGCAAGGGGCGGACCGCAAGGGGCGGACCGCAAGGGGCUGACCGCAAGGGGCUAGUCACCUACAGCUGGCAGCUGUACACGUCUGUUUUUGUUCUGUUUGUGGAUUUGAGUGUUCCUUUGGUUUUGGGGUGGUUUUAUUUGUUUUGAGCGAUAAGUCAGUUCUCACAGCUUUAAGUCUUUUGUAAACUGUUGCAAUGCUAAUGCACACAUACACUACCUAUGUUUGUUGCUAGUGAGUAUGUGCGCAGUAGAAUGUUGCUUAGUUAGCAGCUUUGGUAUAGGACACUGCAUUACAACACCGGGGCAGUGUGUAUGUAUAGUCUAUGUAGCAGCAUGUACAGGCUUUGUUAAAUGUUUUCUUAACAUUGUAAUGAACACACUAGAAUGUUUACUUUCCAACCACUGAAACAAAUAUACCCAUUCCAUUUCCUAUCCUGAGCCCACGUGUUGUUCCCUGCACUGGCCACACAGUAGCUUUUUAUCUUGAUUCUGAUCUAGAUAUUCUAGCUCUGUGUUUUUGUUCUCAUACACUGUUAACUUCACAGACGGCGAUCUGUUUACAUUCCGUUAGGUCUUUGAAUGGACAGGGACAUUCCGUUAGGUCUUUGAAUGGACAGGGACAUUCCGUUAGGUCUUUCAAUGGACAGGGACAUUCCGUUAGGUCUUUCAAUGGACAGGGACAUUCCGUUAGGUCUUUGAAUGGACAGGGACAUUCCGUUAGGUCUUUCAAUGGACAGGGACAUUCCGUUAGGUCUUUCAAUGGACAGGGACAUUCCGUUAGGUCUUUCAAUGGACAGGGACAUUCCGUUAGGUCUUUCAAUGGACAGGGACAUUCCGUUAGGUCUUUGAAUGGACAGGGACACUCCGUUAGGUCUUUGAAUGGACAGGGAC